RNAcentral lists this transfer RNA (75 nucleotides) under Bacillus thuringiensis serovar kurstaki str. HD-1. RNAcentral describes it as "tRNA-Glu". It matches the Rfam family "tRNA". From Rfam's summary of the family: Transfer RNA (tRNA) molecules are approximately 80 nucleotides in length. Their secondary structure includes four short double-helical elements and three loops (D, anti-codon, and T loops). Further hydrogen bonds mediate the characteristic L-shaped molecular structure. tRNAs have two regions of fundamental functional importance: the anti-codon, which is responsible for specific mRNA codon recognition, and the 3' end, to which the tRNAs corresponding amino acid is attached (by aminoacyl-tRNA synthetases). tRNAs cope with the degeneracy of the genetic code in two manners: having more than one tRNA (with a specific anti-codon) for a particular amino acid; and 'wobble' base-pairing, i.e. permitting non-standard base-pairing at the 3rd anti-codon position. Lineage: Bacteria; Bacillati; Bacillota; Bacilli; Caryophanales; Bacillaceae. The record is from RNAcentral.
GGCCCGUUGGUCAAGUGGUUAACACACCGCCCUUUCACGGCGGUAACACGGGCUCGAAUCCCGUACGGGUCACCG